RNAcentral lists this ribosomal RNA (253 nucleotides) under uncultured bacterium. RNAcentral describes it as "partial 16S ribosomal RNA". It matches the Rfam family "Bacterial small subunit ribosomal RNA", at positions 524 to 776 of the family's 1533-position model. The record is from RNAcentral.
UACGGAGGGAGCUAGCGUUGUUCGGAAUUACUGGGCGUAAAGCGCGCGUAGGCGGCUUUGUAAGUUAGAGGUGAAAGCCCGGAGCUCAACUCCGGAACUGCCUUUAAAACUGCAUCGCUUGAAUCCAGGAGAGGUGAGUGGAAUUCCGAGUGUAGAGGUGAAAUUCGUAGAUAUUCGGAAGAACACCAGUGGCGAAGGCGGCUCACUGGACUGGUAUUGACCCUGAGGUGCGAAAGCGUGGGGAGCAAACGGG